UCUUUAUAGGGGGAGAAUAAUUGACUCCAUUCAAGUGUUCGCUCCUGUUUCAAUCAACUAUGGCUGAAGAGUGAGGAGACAUUUGGAAUAAAUAUGGCUUCUGGGGGCCCAUUCCUAUGGAUCAGCAGCUGGCUUCUGGAGGCCCAUUCCUGUGAAUCGUCGAUCUCAUAGAAGAUAAUAUUGUUAGAAGGCUUACCUCAUUGAUGCUGAACAUCCUAAAAAGCUUCUGCUGCUUUGAGUCACUGAAAAAGACCAAGAAACAUGAAUUUAAAAAAAAAUUUCAAAUGUUAUAAAAUAAAUAAUAUGAACUCAUUAUACCUACAAUGAAUAAUUUAAAUUCUUCUUUGGUAGUCCAGGUAAAUAUCUUCUCAAAUAGAUUUUUUUAAGCAUCUGUAUAAGUUCAAGAUGUACAUCACUUCAUGUAGAAUAAAAUCUCCUAAAAAGAA
Long non-coding RNA from Gorilla gorilla gorilla (western lowland gorilla), 446 nucleotides. RefSeq lists it as uncharacterized. The transcript has 2 exons. Lineage: Eukaryota; Metazoa; Chordata; Mammalia; Primates; Hominidae. The record is from RefSeq and is a predicted model, not a curated record.